CGGGGUGCAGCAGGCGCGAAAACUUUACAAUGCCGGCAACGGCGAUAAGGGAACCUCGAGUGCCAGGUUACAAAUCUGGCUGUCGUGAUGCCUAAAAAGCAUUGCAUAGCAAGGGCCGGGCAAGACCGGUGCCAGCCGCCGCGGUAACACCGGCGGCUCGAGUGGUAACCGUUAUUAUUGGGUCUAAAGGGUCUGUAGCCGGCCGGAUAAGUCUCUUGGGAAAUCUGGCAGCUUAACUGUCAGGCUUUCAGGAGAUACUGUCUGGCUCGAGGCCGGGAGAGGUGAGAGGUACUUCAGGGGUAGGGGUGAAAUCUUGUAAUCCUUGAAGGACCACCAGUGGCGAAGGCGUCUCACCAGAACGGACCUGACGGCAAGGGACGAAAGCUAGGGGCACGAACCGGAUUAGAUACCCGGGUAGUCCUAGCCGUAAACGAUACUCGCUAGGUGUCGGCCACGGUGCGACCGUGGUCGGUGCCGUAGGGAAGCCGUGAAGCGAGCCACCUGGGAAGUACGGCCGCAAGGCUGAAACUUAAAGGAAUUGGCGGGGGAGCAC
RNAcentral lists this ribosomal RNA (553 nucleotides) under uncultured archaeon. RNAcentral describes it as "bacterial SSU rRNA". It matches the Rfam family "Archaeal small subunit ribosomal RNA", at positions 326 to 879 of the family's 1478-position model. The record is from RNAcentral.